GAUUUCUGACUUGGCGCACCUGGCCCGCCACGGUUACGUGUGUGAGUGCCGGGAUGCGCCUGUCACUUUUCUGGUAAACUAUUGUGCCCUUCAUUGGGUAUGAUAGGUAGCCAGAUAUUUUACUUUGAAAAAAUUAGAGUGUUUAAAGCAGGCGUUUGCUAUGAAUACAUUAGCAUGGAAUAAUAAGUUAGGACUUCGGUUCUAUUUUGUUGGUUUCUAGGACUGAAGUAAUGAUUGAUAGGGAUAGUUGGGGGUGCUAGUAUUCAGCGGCCAGAGGUGAAAUUCUCGGAUUCGCUGAAGACUAACUUAUGCGAAAGCAUU
This 321-nucleotide ribosomal RNA is filed under the name Cercomonadida environmental sample. RNAcentral's name for it is "SSU rRNA". The stretch from base 57 to 321 matches the Rfam family "Eukaryotic small subunit ribosomal RNA", at positions 689 to 955 of the family's 1831-position model. Lineage: Eukaryota; Cercozoa; Cercomonadida. The record is from RNAcentral. RNAcentral also lists the same sequence under 1 other name.